GAGGCAGACGUCUAACUGACUGAGCCACCCAGGGAUCCCUAUACAACUGCAUUUUUAGAAUUACCACUAAUCUACGGGAUCUGAAUUCCAGUCAUGCAAAGAAGAAUCUUUGAAGACAUACUCUUUAAAGGAAGGAACAAAACUCUGAGUGUGGUUUGGGAAAUCUGGAAGGAAGAUAUCCUCACCCACGAAGAGGAUCUGAAUUCUACUCAUGCAAAAAAGAAUCUUCCAAGAGACAUUCUUCAAGGAAGGAACAAAACCCUGAGUGUGGAUUUGGAACCAUGCCCCAUGAAGUUAAUGAGGCUAAAACUGUCACCAGUAAGACCCCCACUGACCCUCCCUCUUAUUUAAGGAAUGCUAAUCUUAUCUUUAGGACAAGACAAAAGCUCUGGCCAACAUAGAGCAGUUUGAGCUUCCUGGAUAGAUUCACACCUAAGAGGUGGACCGUGAAGUGUCAGACACCUGUAGUUCAUUAUAAUAAAAU
This is a non-coding RNA of Leptonychotes weddellii (Weddell seal), 484 nucleotides long. The record is from RefSeq and is a predicted model, not a curated record. Lineage: Eukaryota; Metazoa; Chordata; Mammalia; Carnivora; Phocidae.